Molecule: ribosomal RNA, 468 nt
Filed under: uncultured bacterium
Lineage: Bacteria
Description: partial 16S ribosomal RNA
Rfam family: Bacterial small subunit ribosomal RNA
Source: RNAcentral
GACGAACGCUGGCGGCGUGCUUAACACAUGCAAGUCGAACGGAAAGGCCCUGCUUUUGUGGGUUUCUCGAUUGUCGAACGGGUGAGUAACACGUGAGUAACCUGCCCUUUACUUUGGGAUAACUUCAGGAAACUGGGGCUCAUACCGGAUAGGAGCUCCUGCUGCAUGGUGGGGGUUGGAAAGUUUCGGCUGUUGGGGAUGGACUCGCUGCUUAUCAGCUUGUUUGUGGGGUAGUGGCUGACCAAGGCUUUGACGGGUAGCCGGCCUGAGAGGGUGAACGGCGACAUUGGGACUGAGAUACGGACCAGACGCGUACGGGAGGCAGCAGGGGGGAAUAUGGCAGAACGGGCGGAAGUCAGAGGCAGCAAUGCAGCGUGCGGGAUGACGGCCUUCGGGUGGUAAACAGCUUUGGAAUGUGAUGAAGAGGGAGUGACGGUAAUGAGUAAAGAAGCAACGGCUAACUACGUG